Molecule: long non-coding RNA, 737 nt
Organism: Rhipicephalus sanguineus (brown dog tick)
Lineage: Eukaryota; Metazoa; Arthropoda; Arachnida; Ixodida; Ixodidae
Exons: 3
Source: RefSeq, a predicted model, not a curated record
ACGGCCGAUCCUUGUUCCACCGACUUCCAAAAGGAAGCGGGGCCUUGCCGGUCGGCCCCGCUACCAGCAGUCAGGCUACGCUGGCCUCGACUGGCGCCCCUGAGCGGCUCGGACGAGCGGGCAGCCGCACGGUCGACGGCGCACGUCCACGGACCGCGCCGCGACGGUAGAUCCACGCCCACCUCACUUGGCUUUGCCCUCGCCGCCUCAGCGAUGAGCCGCUACUACUGGCCCUGUUGGAGACGCAGCCUAAGCUCUCAGAGUCCAGCGUUGGCCAGGCAGAAGUGAGACACGCGCCGUCGAGUGCUGGGCCCUCCCGUAGCUCAGGCCCGGACAGUCGGCGAAUGACGGUAGCGUUCGCCGGUGCUACUGGUGCAUCUUUGGUAGUGGCCACCGGUGCGUCAGCCCCGAGCUCUGCGCGCCGGUGAUGUCCGGGGCGCCGCCAGACAAGCCCGGGUCGUCGUCUGACAAGCCCGGGUCGUCGUCCGACAAACACGGUGGGUCGGACAGGCACGCGUCAUCGAGCAGGUCCGAUGACAAGUCCAAAGAGAAGGCGCUCGAGAAGACGACCGAAAGGUCCGUCGCCUCCACAGAGAGGUCAUCGAGCUCGCACCACCACCACCACAGGAGGCAUAGUCACUCGUCCCCCGGAAAAUCGUCGUCCAGGUCCUCGCCGUCGAAAAGCAGAGGGCGCCGCGAUCCCAUUCCCCUCGGAGCGGCGGCCUCCACCGACCCCU